RNAcentral lists this ribosomal RNA (412 nucleotides) under uncultured microorganism. RNAcentral describes it as "bacterial SSU rRNA". It matches the Rfam family "Bacterial small subunit ribosomal RNA", at positions 9 to 417 of the family's 1533-position model. The record is from RNAcentral.
GAGUUUGAUCGUGGCUCAGAUUGAACGCUGGCGGCAUGCCUUACACAUGCAAGUCGAACGGCAGCAUGAUCUAGCUUGCUAGAUUGAUGGCGAGUGGCGAACGGGUGAGUAAUACAUUGGAACGUGCCCUGUAGUGGGGGAUAACUAGUCGAAAGAUUAGCUAAUACCGCAUACGACCUGAGGGUGAAAGUGGGGGACCGCAAGGCCUCAUGCUAUAGGAGCGGCCGAUGUCUGAUUAGCUAGUUGGUGGGGUAAAGGCCCACCAAGGCGACGAUCAGUAGCUGGUCUGAGAGGACGAUCAGCCACACUGGGACUGAGACACGGCCCAGACUCCUACGGGAGGCAGCAGUGGGGAAUUUUGGACAAUGGGCGAAAGCCUGAUCCAGCAAUGCCGCGUGUGUGAAGAAGGCCU